AUUGAACGCUAGCGGGAUGCUUUACACAUGCAAGUCGAACGGCAGCACGAGGAGCUUGCUCCUUGGUGGUGAGUGGCGGACGGGUGAGUAAUAUAUCGGAAUGUGCCCAGUAGCGGGGGGAUAACUACUCGAAAGAGUGGCUAAUACCGCAUACGCCUACGGGGGAAGGGGGGGAGUCUUCGGACCUCGUCACUAUUGGAGCAGCCGAUAUCAGAUUAGCUAGUUGGUGGGG
Molecule: ribosomal RNA, 232 nt
Filed under: uncultured bacterium
Lineage: Bacteria
Description: partial 16S ribosomal RNA
Rfam family: Bacterial small subunit ribosomal RNA
Source: RNAcentral